AAAUUGAAGAGUUUGAUCAUGGCUCAGAUUGAACGCUGGCGGCAGGCCUAACACAUGCAAGUCGAGCGGUAGCACAGAGAGUUUGCUCUCGGGUGACGAGCGGCGGACGGGUGAGUAAUGUCUGGGAAACUGCCUGAUGGAGGGGGAUAACUACUGGAAACGGUAGCUAAUACCGCAUAA
This 180-nucleotide ribosomal RNA is filed under the name Klebsiella pneumoniae. RNAcentral's name for it is "partial 16S ribosomal RNA". It matches the Rfam family "Bacterial small subunit ribosomal RNA", at positions 1 to 176 of the family's 1533-position model. The record is from RNAcentral. Lineage: Bacteria; Pseudomonadati; Pseudomonadota; Gammaproteobacteria; Enterobacterales; Enterobacteriaceae.